Ricinus communis (castor bean) is the source of this 1227-nucleotide long non-coding RNA. RefSeq lists it as uncharacterized. Lineage: Eukaryota; Viridiplantae; Streptophyta; Magnoliopsida; Malpighiales; Euphorbiaceae. The transcript is spliced from 3 exons. The record is from RefSeq and is a predicted model, not a curated record.
UCCAACUUAGAGAAUAAGAAAAGAAAUACUAUUAAAUUACACAUGACUUAAUAGUAAUUUAUAAACACACAUACAAAGAAAAAAGAAAAAGAAAAAGAGGAGAGAAUCAAGAAGAGCAAGUAAGAAGGCAUAAACAAUUUGAAUAGCUUUAGUUUAAUUUUACUGAAAUCAUCUCUAGGGCCACUAGGUUGGCAGUUAGAAUUUUGUGGACCCAACUUAAAAAAGAAAAAGAAAAAGCAGAAAUGAAAGGGGAAUAGUAAAGUGGAGCUGGAUCACCUUUACCAAGGAAAGAAAAUCCAAACAAGGCUACCUGUAAAACCCAGGCAGCUUUGGCUGUAUCCAUGGAACUAUUUGUUGGAAAAUAGCCCUCUUUGCCGCCUUCUCCACGACCUGUCUUUCUCUUCUCCAUGGACUUUCUGCUGUCUUAGUCUUCUCUCUUUCUCUAUAAAACCCGCUAUUGAAUAUCCAAUCUUCUACUAAUCUUUUUUGUUCCAAUGAAAAGGCAAGGAGCAGCAGAGAAAGUGAAGAAAAAAGAAAUCCCGACAGUGGAAUUUUAACAGUUGAGAGAUAUAAAAAGAGUUGGAUCGGCCCGACUUCAUAAUUGUCUGAAAUUGUAUCUGCCUGGCUCCCUGAAUGCCAUCUAAGAAGCUUGUCAAACAGUGUUGGCAAUUUUCCUAUUUGGCAUGAGGGGAGUCAUGCAGGCCCGUACGCAAUCAGACGAUUAUAGGGGAGUAUCAAGGGUAUUCAUAUUCUCAUUUUCUUUCUUCUAUUCCCUCAACUCAAACUGUAUGCUUCUUUCCUGCUAACCAAAGAUCAGAUUAUUGAGGGGGAGUAUAUAUAAUUGAGGUCUACAUGACAAAGAACAUAUGUAGAAAAGACAAUGCAUCUGAAAAUCAAGUUUUGUUUGUCACUCAGAACUUUUUCUGCAGUCUCUUCUUCUGGAUUUAUACAGAUUUGUGGCCACCAAGAAACCAUAUAAUGCAGGGCGCUUGAUGUGGGCCUAGUUCUGCAUUCAGCCAUUGACAAAGAUUGUUAUCCUUCAGUCAAUUUAAUACAAAUAUUUCUUCCUCUAUUUUAUACAUUAAUGUGUAUUUUACAAAGUGGUCUAUUUCAUAAACUUGUCAUUCUUGGACGUGUAUGGAGACAUCCAUAUCCUUGGAGCUUCUACACAUGGGCUUCUGAAUAUGAACUGAAAAAGAACAAUGCAUUUCCUUUUUUUUUCUUUUU